UGGGGAAUAUUGGACAAUGGGCGAAGGCCUGAUCCAGCCAUGCCGCGUGAGUGACGAAGGCCUUAGGGUUGUAAAACUCUUUCGUCGGGGACGAUAAUGACGGUACCCGAAGAAGAAGCUCCGGCUAACUUCGUGCCAGCAGCCGCGGUAAUACGAAGGGAGCUAGCGUUGUUCGGAAUCACUGGGCGUAAAGCGCACGUAGGCGGAUAGUUAAGUCAGGGGUGAAAUCCUGGGGCUCAACCCCAGAACUGCCUUUGAUACUGGCUGUCUCGAGGUCGAGAGAGGUUGGUGGAAUUCCUAGUGUAGAGGUGAAAUUCGUAGAUAUUAGGAAGAACACCAGUGGCGAAGGCGGCCAACUGGCUCGAUACUGACGCUGAGGUGCGAAAGCGUGGGGAGCAAACAGGAUUAGAUACCCAGGUAGUCCCUGAGCGGGCUGGCAAGGCGCAU
RNAcentral lists this ribosomal RNA (447 nucleotides) under uncultured bacterium. RNAcentral's name for it is "bacterial SSU rRNA". It matches the Rfam family "Bacterial small subunit ribosomal RNA", at positions 355 to 825 of the family's 1533-position model. The record is from RNAcentral.